Andrographis paniculata is the source of this 3353-nucleotide long non-coding RNA. RefSeq lists it as uncharacterized. NCBI's taxonomy places the organism in Eukaryota, Viridiplantae, Streptophyta, Magnoliopsida, Lamiales, Acanthaceae. The record is from RefSeq and is a predicted model, not a curated record. The transcript has 6 exons.
UCUUCUACGUCUUGUCUGCUGUAUCUAUUAAUAGCUCCUCAUAUAAUCAUCAACAGUGACCUCUCUCCCCUCUAUCAGAACAUAGAUUGAUAGCAAGUGUAUAUAUCUGCCACUGCCAGCCAUCGCGUAUCAAAUAGAAUAGGAUCUCCGUCGAAUAAGGAAGGCGAUAUCUUCAACCAUAUACUCACACACUCACAUGCAAGUUCCAAAAAGAAGGAAACUUGUUUGUCCACUCGACCCACAAUCAAUCAGUGAGUAAGGGAGGGAGCGAGCGAGCGAGUAAUUUUAGGAACGGGCUCCUCCAUACCUUGCCGCCUCCAGCUACUAAUUACUGCUGCCGCUUUGUAUCGCACGGAGAGCAUCCGCUCCGCUGAACCUGGGGACUUCUUAUCCAUCCUCGCCGCCUGGUUUUGACGAGGCGCACCGUAUCGUGGGCUAACACGCAGGCAUUUGCCACCGGAGAAUGCUAUGGCUAGUCCUAGUUCGUACAGGGCAGGGCAAGGCAAGGCGACUUAAGCGGUGAGGAUAAGAAGCCAGUCAGUCCCCAGCACGAUGAUAUCCCGCACAAUCUGCGAAUAAAGCGUGGGACGGAAGAAAAAUCGACCAAGCAUCAUCGUGCUCGUUGCGGCCCCCGCCCCGGCAAUUCCCUGCCUGGCCUGGCCGGUCACCCCUCGAAUUCCUCGAUUGCGGCUGUUACCAAGGAUCAUUAUUUAGGACCUUCUUUUAUUUUUCUAUACCCGACCCGACGAAGACCGGUCUAUUCGGGUCGGAUUCGUGAGUCGUACUUAAUACUCCGUCUUGUCUAUUGAGUCCCUUACAUUUUCAAACUUUUUCGAACCGUUCACCAAAAAUCUCUAUAGGCAACAUUGAGAAGCCGAUACGGCGAAUGGUUGACGGAAUCAUCUGCGCUGUGGGAAACGAAUCCGGCAGAAGAGUAGGAAGAGGACGAAUUCGUACUGACGGUUUGUCUCUGCUCUAUUUUUUUCGAAAUCCGUUGUUUUUGUAGUCCUGUCCUUGUGUGUGGUUGUGCUCUGGUUUCGGUAUUCGAUUUUCCGUUGGGGCGCGACUCCGCUUCGAUGAUUUGGCCGUUGGUUUUGGAGAAUGGUGAUGCGCGGGUAUAAAUUGCGUAUCCUCUGAUGGAAUUUUAGGGUUUAAGUUGUAAUAUCUUUGAAUUCAUGUGUUUAUGUGUUGUGUGUGCGUCGGAUGCGAUGAAGUUUCGACGAAUAUUGAAAAAAUAUGCGUCUUUCUAAAUUAGUGAUAUGCGUAGUUCAUUUUCAAUUGAGAUUGUUGUAUUAUUGAUAUCUGUGCUUCAUGAAUAGUCGCAUCAUUACGCAUUCCGAGCAGUGAAAUAGCAUGAUGGAAAUGUUAAUGUGAUUUGGGAUACAUAUGUUUUUCUCCUCUCCAUAAUAUAUGUAUAUUUGAUAUAAGCCAUAUAUUUGUACAAGCUUCGCCCCUUGUAAUCUAUAUAGUAUUGUUGGCGUUUGUUCUAUAUUGUAAUUUAUAAACUUUUCUGAUAAUUCAAUUUGGGUAAACACUAGGUUUGCCAUCAGUGACUGUUUUCUUCAUCAAAGUAUAUGCCUAAAGGAAGUGGCCUCUGAUUAUUGCGAAUCCUAUUAGUCACACAAGUCCUGUUGAGUCUAGCGCUUUGGAUUUAGUAGAGGUUUGGGUGGUAGCUGGAACUUCUGAGGCAAUGAAGUUAUGGGAUUUGGAAGAAACCAAAGAAUUUUUUAUCUACUCCACUGUAGUUUGCAUUGCAUCAGGUUCUUAAUUGCACAUUUGAGUUUUGAAUGUUUGCCCUAAGUUUUUUCCAAUUCAACUAUAGGGCUCUGGUUACUAAAUCAAAAUGUGAAUGUUCCAUAUAAUUUAGCGAAUAUAAAUUGCUGCAACAUUUCAUUGUCAUUAAUUUAGUAUUAAUAUGUUUCUCAAGUUAGUUAAUUUUCAUGAGAAGCAAAGUUUCUUUCUCAUCUUUUCUUGCUGCUAUGUGCUGUACUUUACCAGAGAUCAAUGAACAUCUUGGCUGUUGAAUUUUUUACACCCUUUAAAAUUUUAUAUUCAAAGCUACGCUUUGUUUGAAGAUGUCUUUCCUUAGGACGCAAGAAGAGGCGUGCCUUUUUGUGCAUUGGAGUUUGCUAUUUGAAUGUGUAUCUUGGCUUUUUAUCUCUUGGUUGAUUGACACAUUUGUUUGCUUUUAAAGCCACUUGAGCAAUGUAGUUAUGUCAGACUUGAUUAGUGAAUACAUUUUCUAUGUUCAAAUUUUAAAUUCUCUAUUUCUGCCGGUGCGACAUCUCUUUUAACUGGGCUGGCUGGGAAAGUUUCUGUAGAUUUUGUUGAUGCAACAUCUACUGGGCAUUCUGUGCAUCAUAAGCAGGUAGGUCUUUUCCUCAUACUUACACUCAACCUUGGACAUAUUUCCUGCAGGCUACUGCCAGGGUUCCUGAUACUCAGAUAAUAACUGAGUAUCCUGUAGUUAGGUAUUCCAUUGGUUCAAAUAUUUAACUCCAUGAAUACACGACUGCUAACCAAUCAUUUGCUAUAUCAGGAUUCUAUAGCAAAUGGCAUCGCAUCUUAAUAUAAUGCUAUCUUACUAGGUUUCUACUGAAAGAUAUAAAUAUAUAUAUUUCAGCUUUAACCAAUCUCCAGGUUGGAGCAAUUUUAUGUGGUCUACAAUCUCCUGGAGGACAUGAAGUUAUUUGGGGUGGUUGUAUUGAAGCUCUAAAAACUCACUGCACCAACAUUUAUUUGCUUUGAUUUUUGGGUGGUUCUGAUAGUUCACUUGCUCAGGAAACUUUUAAGAGAUGUUGAUGGGAUUCUUGCCACAUACACAGAUCAAGUUAUGAAGGUGGGUUAUGAUUUCCUAGGAUGGACAAAUGAUCAAAUUAGAACUGAACAAUUUUCUUGGCUGCAUGCUGGAGCCUGCAAUGCUUUGAACACAAAACUAUAUGGUAGUGCCACACUCUCAAAAAACCGAGGCAGCAUUGAAAGACAAUCAAAGCUCUGGAAAGAAAAGAACAUAAUAUUGUGAUGCACUGCUCAGUUGUGUUCACCAUCCGCGAUGUGCAUGGAGCUGCAGCCAGGUUCAACGCACACUAUGUUGGUGGAGAGAAGUGUGGUUUGGAGGUGCCUGCCCCGCAGCUACAUGGUGAAUAUUAUUCCAUCACUUUCUCUUUCUGCGGCCCUUUAUGGAGGGGGAUGGAUUAUAUGGCUUGUCUGUGUGCUUUCUGUCCGGUUACCAACUUAUUUGCUGAUCAGCAAGUUAUCAUCUACUGUAAAUUUUAGUAAUAUUUAAAUUAGCAGACUCACAGAUUUAUUAAACUCAGUUAUAAUGCAAUAAAAUUUUAAAAUACUAAGGCGAA